UACAGAGGGUGCAAGCGUUAAUCGGAGUUACUGGGCGUAAAGGGCGCGUAGGCGGUCAUUGCAAGUGAGAUGUGAAAUCCCCCGGGCUUAACCUGGGGAACUGCAUUUUAGACUGUGUGACUGGAGUACUGUAGGAGGAUAGUGGAAUUUCCGGUGUAGCGGUGAAAUGCGUAGAGAUCGGAAGGAACACCAGUGGCGAAGGCGACUGUCUGGACAGAUACUGACGCUGAGGCGCGAAAGCGUGGGGGAGCAAACAGG
This 258-nucleotide ribosomal RNA is filed under the name uncultured bacterium. Its description in RNAcentral is "partial 16S ribosomal RNA". It matches the Rfam family "Bacterial small subunit ribosomal RNA", at positions 524 to 776 of the family's 1533-position model. The record is from RNAcentral.